RNAcentral lists this long non-coding RNA (1209 nucleotides) under Homo sapiens (human). RNAcentral describes it as "non-protein coding lnc-KATNAL2-13:2". Lineage: Eukaryota; Metazoa; Chordata; Mammalia; Primates; Hominidae. The record is from RNAcentral.
GAGGCGGUGCAGCUACCGCGCCGUGUUGUCCUCUGUCUGCACCGCCGCUGACGGAAAGCUAGGCCCUUCUGGAGACCCGCUUUCCCAAGGGCGCGGCCUCCUGGGCCGGGAUGCACGAGGAAAAAUAAUCCCCUGCCUUUCUUCGGUAGCUGUUUUCCAGUCCACAGCACCACUGCUGAACCGAGCGUUACUGAGUAGCGUUCUUUGCCUUCACCCCUCCCUUCCUCUACCACUUGUCCACUCUCGAGGUUUAACUAAGAAGUCAUACUUUACUAGACAACCCAAUCUCAGAAGUCGUCAUUUCCCCCUUAGCUACUUGAAUAGUACCUGGCACCUCUUGCUUCCUCCAUUAACUACUCCCUCGGGCAGCGACGUCCCUCCUUUCCCUCUUCUCUCCCGAUUAGAGCCACUACGGGCCGUGCCUUCCUCUUCCACGGGAGCUCUAUCUUGGUACACCCAGAACCACCUCCCUCCCUAACCCGCUGCCACACUCGUGGGGGUCUCUACCUGUCUCCUCUUGAUCCAGGUAAGUUAUGUGGACCUGAAUAAUAGAGUACAGAAAAGUCACUCUUAUGCACUCACUAUGAAAAUGACUGAACAACUUUCUGGAGCCGUGUUGACAUAAUAGGAUACUCACUCGGGUUACACCUUAUACAAGGGUUAUACCCCUUGAUAAAACCACUGCUCUGUCCUUGACUAGGGACCCAUAUAUGCCACCCGUAUGCCACAAUCUAACACCCCCACUACCCAAGGCUGCAGUCAGCCCUGUUAGGAGCUGUGACCCAUUCUGUCCCUUGGACUAGGAGCCAUCUGCUUUUCCUCCCCACUGGAUCUGAAGUUUUUUUGUCUUACUCAUAUAUGCUAAGUUUAAGUUUUCUGUGUGAGGGUCUAAUUGGUUGAAGGAAAAAGGAUUUGGUCCUAGUUUCCCCUUAUGAGCCAGCUGUCUUUGACCAGAUUAAGACAUCACCAAAGGAUUUUAAGUGGGUAAUAUAAGAAGUGUAUUUUUCUAAAUGCUUCCUCUGCCUGCAGUAUGAAUAGAUAGGAGAGAUGCCAGAAUGGGUGAGACCAGAUAAGAGACCCACUGCAGGGCCACAAGAGAGAUACUUGAACUAGAAUGUGUGGAAACAAAGCAAAGAGGAUAAAUUCAUAGGAGGCAAAACAGAAACUGGUGACAGAUUAGAUUGGGGUUAGGGAGAAGGCAUCAAUUAU